UCGCAACUGAAUUUCAAUAGUAUGCCCUCAUCGUUUCUACUUCAUUUUAUAUUACAAGAACUAAGGAGUAACAUAACAAGAGAAACAUUUCCAGAGAGACAGAGACAGAGACGGAAGUCAAGAGCAGCCAGCCAAAGCACACUGACUGAGUCAUCCAGUAUUUCCCAUAAUGAAGCAAGUGACGCAUCCAUAUCAGCCAAGGCAAAGAGACUCAUGCAAAAUUCACUUCCUAAGAAAAUGCUAUUUCCACAAGUCUGGGUGCUAUGGAGCACUCAACAAAGGAAGAGGCUUGAAAAGGAGGCAUAUGUGCACACACACCACAACCCAGAAUGUCUACUUAGAACAGCCCCAAAGACCAAGGUUGAA
Molecule: non-coding RNA, 366 nt
Organism: Peromyscus maniculatus bairdii (prairie deer mouse)
Lineage: Eukaryota; Metazoa; Chordata; Mammalia; Rodentia; Cricetidae
Source: RefSeq, a predicted model, not a curated record